CAAUAGCGUAUAUUAAAGUUGUUGCAGUUAAAAAGCUCGUAGUUGGAUUUCUGGUUGAAGCGACCGGUCGGGCGUUGAUUCGUCUGCACUGGAGUCGGUCUUGGCCAUCCUCUAGGAAAGUGCGUCUGGUAUUAAGUUAUCGGGCGUAUGAUCCUGGUCUUUUACUGUGAAAAAAUUAGAGUGUUUAAAGCAGGCCUUCGCCUUGAAUACAUUAGCAUGGAAUAAUAAGAUAGGACUUUGGUCUAUUUUGUUGGUUUGCAGACCGAAGUAAUGAUUAAUAGGGAUAGUUGGGGGUAUUUAUAUUCCGAUGUCAGAGGUGAAAUUCUUAGAUUUUCGGAAGAUAAACUUAUGCGAAAGCAUUUACCAAGGAUGUUUUCAUUAA
Molecule: ribosomal RNA, 382 nt
Filed under: uncultured eukaryote
Lineage: Eukaryota
Description: partial 18S ribosomal RNA
Rfam family: Eukaryotic small subunit ribosomal RNA
Source: RNAcentral